RNAcentral lists this ribosomal RNA (469 nucleotides) under uncultured bacterium. RNAcentral's name for it is "bacterial SSU rRNA". It matches the Rfam family "Bacterial small subunit ribosomal RNA", at positions 28 to 507 of the family's 1533-position model. The record is from RNAcentral.
GAUGAACGCUAGCGGCAGGCUUAAUACAUGCAAGUCAAGGGGGUAGCAAUACAACCGGCGCACGGGUGAGUAACGCGUACACAACAUGCCAUAGUACUGGGGUAUAGCUUUGGGAAACUGAAGGUAAUCCCCCAUAACAUUGCGAGAGGGCAUCUGAUUGCAAUUAAAGUUUCGGCGGUAUAUGAUUGGUGUGCGUUUGAUUAGCUAGUUGGUAGGGUAACGGCCUACCAAGGCGACGAUCAAUAGCUGGCGUGAGAGCGCGACCAGCCACACUGGAACUGAGACACGGUCCAGACUCCUACGGGAGGCAGCAGUAGGGAAUAUUGGACAAUGGAGGAAACUCUGAUCCAGCCAUGCCGCGUGAUAGAUGAAGGCCCUCUGGGUUGUAAAUAUCUUUUAUCUGGGAAGAAACUCCUCUAUUCUUAGAGGCCUGACGGUACCAGAGGAAUAAGCACCGGCUAACUCCGUG